ACAUUUGGUGUAUGUGCUUGGCUG
RNAcentral lists this non-coding RNA (24 nucleotides) under Drosophila melanogaster (fruit fly). The record is from RNAcentral. Lineage: Eukaryota; Metazoa; Arthropoda; Insecta; Diptera; Drosophilidae. RNAcentral also lists the same sequence under 3 other names.